This 67-nucleotide transfer RNA is filed under the name Meroles squamulosus. Its description in RNAcentral is "tRNA-Tyr". The record is from RNAcentral. Lineage: Eukaryota; Metazoa; Chordata; Lepidosauria; Squamata; Lacertidae.
GGUAGGGUGGUCGAAUUAGGCGUGAGGCUGUAAACCCCACUAUGGGAAUUGUUUCCCCCCUACCAUG